AAUUUUAAAAGUAAAAGACUAAAACAAUUAAUACAAUGACACCUAUGGUUUGGAUAUCUCGACCAUUUGAUGGAGUACCUUUAAGAAGGUACGUCUCUUUCUUUUUCAUAACCUUUUUUUUUUAUAAUAUUUACCAUUAUUUUUAGUAAAAAAAACCAGAGAGACUAGCAAUGCAGCUGCUCUAAAACCUUACUUAAGAGAUUGAAGUUAAUCAUGGUCUAAUGGAUCGAGCUGCUCUAAUGCUGCGUCUUCUAUAAUACGACACGUAGACCCCACUUCUGCUC
Molecule: long non-coding RNA, 284 nt
Filed under: Brassica napus (rape)
Lineage: Eukaryota; Viridiplantae; Streptophyta; Magnoliopsida; Brassicales; Brassicaceae
Description: long non-coding RNA (BNAP_LNC005084)
Source: RNAcentral